Molecule: small RNA, 28 nt
Filed under: Bombyx mori (domestic silkworm)
Lineage: Eukaryota; Metazoa; Arthropoda; Insecta; Lepidoptera; Bombycidae
Description: ovarian small RNA-31920
Source: RNAcentral
UGACUCCGUUUGAGCUUGUCGACUGCCA